RNAcentral lists this ribosomal RNA (253 nucleotides) under uncultured bacterium. RNAcentral describes it as "partial 16S ribosomal RNA". It matches the Rfam family "Bacterial small subunit ribosomal RNA", at positions 524 to 776 of the family's 1533-position model. The record is from RNAcentral.
UACGAAGGGUGCAAACGUUGCUCGGAAUUAUUGGGCGUAAAGCGCACGUAGGCGGAUCGUUAAGUCAGGGGUGAAAUCCUGGGGCUCAACCCCAGAACUGCCUUUGAUACUGGCGAUCUCGAGUCCGGAAGAGGUGAGUGGAACUCCUAGUGUAGAGGUGGAAUUCGUAGAUAUUAGGAAGAACACCAGUGGCGAAGGCGGCUCACUGGUCCGGUACUGACGCUGAGGUGCGAAAGCGUGGGGAGCAAACAGG